This 455-nucleotide ribosomal RNA is filed under the name uncultured bacterium. Its description in RNAcentral is "bacterial SSU rRNA". It matches the Rfam family "Bacterial small subunit ribosomal RNA", at positions 340 to 786 of the family's 1533-position model. The record is from RNAcentral.
UACGGGAGGCAGCAGUAGGGAAUCUUCCGCAAUGGACGAAAGUCUGACGGAGCAACGCCGCGUGAACGAUGAAGGCUUUCGGGUCGUAAAGUUCUGUUGUUAGGGAAGAACAAGUACCGGAGUAACUGCCGGUACCUUGACGGUACCUAACCAGAAAGCCACGGCUAACUACGUGCCAGCAGCCGCGGUAAUACGUAGGUGGCAAGCGUUGUCCGGAAUUAUUGGGCGUAAAGCGCGCGCAGGCGGUCCUUUAAGUCUGAUGUGAAAGCCCACGGCUCAACCGUGGAGGGUCAUUGGAAACUGGGGACUUGAGUGCAGAAGAGGAGAGUGGAAUUCCACGUGUAGCGGUGAAAUGCGUAGAGAUGUGGAGGAACACCAGUGGCGAAGGCGACUCUCUGGUCUGUAAACUGACGCUGAGGCGCGAAAGCGUGGGGAGCGAACAGGGAUUAGAUACC